CACAUACACACAAAAGAAGGAGAACAGUAACAAAUCCAACAAAAAAAAAUCAUCAGCAUUUUCUCCCUCUAGACUCUCACUCUCUCUCUCCAAUAAAGUUCGCCGGCGACCGGCCGUGACACCACCAUCCGACCAACGACGGUGACGAUAACACAGCUUCAGCCGCAACUUCCUUUUCUCUUCCCCUCUGGCGAACUAGCGCCGACACCGCUCCGUUCUCCGCCUUCCAGAUCUGUCUCAUCACUAUCUAGAUCUGCCGCCGCCGUCCUUCCCUCCCUCCGGUGAUAACAGCCACCGUCAACAACAACCUGUCGCCGUCCUUCCCCCCCUCCGGUGACAACAGCCAUCGUCAACAGCACCGACCGCCAUCGCUGCUCCUGCCGUCAGCGACCAGCGCCGCCGACCCGACCUCUUACCAGCAACGACGACAGCGCCGGCGUUGGAGCCAGCGCCGCUCCGCGUCGGCCAGCUCCGGCCGCAGCUCCUCCACCGGUGACAACCCCG
RNAcentral lists this long non-coding RNA (504 nucleotides) under Capsicum annuum. RNAcentral's name for it is "long non-coding RNA (CANN_LNC022348)". The record is from RNAcentral. Lineage: Eukaryota; Viridiplantae; Streptophyta; Magnoliopsida; Solanales; Solanaceae.